Molecule: ribosomal RNA, 463 nt
Filed under: uncultured bacterium
Lineage: Bacteria
Description: partial 16S ribosomal RNA
Rfam family: Bacterial small subunit ribosomal RNA
Source: RNAcentral
ACGAACGCUGGCGGCGUGCUUAACCCCUGCAAGUCGCACGGAAAGGCCCUGCUUGCAGGGUACUCGAGUGGCGAACGGGUGAGUAACACGUGGGUGAUCUGCCCUGCACUUCGGGAUAAGCCUGGGAAACUGGGUCUAAUACCGGAUAGGAGCCAUUUUUAGUGUGAUGGUUGGAAAGUUUUUUCGGUGUAGGAUGAGCUCGCGGCCUAUCAGCUUGUUGGUGGGGUAAUGGCCUACCAAGGCGGCGACGGGUAGCCGGCCUGAGAGGGUGGACGGCCACAUUGGGACUGAGAUACGGCCCAGACUCCUACGGGAGGCAGCAGUGGGGAAUAUUGCACAAUGGGCGCAAGCCUGAUGCAGCGACGCCGCGUGGGGGAUGACGGCCUUCGGGUUGUAAACUCCUUUCGCUAGGGACGAAGCUUUUGUGACGGUACCUAGAUAAGAAGCACCGGCUAACUACGUG